This 449-nucleotide ribosomal RNA is filed under the name uncultured bacterium. RNAcentral describes it as "partial 16S ribosomal RNA". It matches the Rfam family "Bacterial small subunit ribosomal RNA", at positions 29 to 523 of the family's 1533-position model. The record is from RNAcentral.
AAUGAACGCUGGCGGCAUGCCUAACACAUGCAAGUCGAACGAAGGCUUCGGCCUUAGUGGCGCACGGGUGCGUAACGCGUGGGAAUCUGCCCUCAGGUUCGGAAUAACAGCGAGAAAUGGCUGCUAAUACCGGAUGAUAUCGCGAGAUCACAGAUUUAUCGCCUGAGGAUGAGCCCGCGUAGGAUUAGCUAGUUGGUGUGGUAAAGGCGCACCAAGGCGACGAUCCUUAGCUGGUCUGAGAGGAUGAUCAGCCACACUGGGACUGAGACACGGCCCAGACUCCUACGGGAGGCAGAAGUGGGGAAUAUUGGACAAUGGGCGAAAGCCUGAUCCAGCAAUGCCGCGUGAGUGAUGAAGGCCUUAGGGUUGUAAAGCUCUUUUACCCGGGAUGAUAAUGACAGUACCGGGAGAAUAAGCUCCGGCUAACUCCGUGCCAGCAGCCGCCGUAA